Molecule: ribosomal RNA, 253 nt
Filed under: uncultured bacterium
Lineage: Bacteria
Description: partial 16S ribosomal RNA
Rfam family: Bacterial small subunit ribosomal RNA
Source: RNAcentral
UACGUAGGGUGCAAGCGUUAAUCGGAAUUACUGGGCGUAAAGCGUGCGCAGGCGGUUAUGUAAGACAGGUGUGAAAUCCCCGGGCUCAACCCGGGAACUGCGUCCGAUACUGGCAGGCUUGAAUCCGGGAGAGGGAUGUGGAAUUCCAGGUGUAGCGGUGAAAUGCGUAGAUAUCUGGAGGAACACCGGUGGCGAAGGCGGCAUCCUGGACCGGCAUUGACGCUGAGGCGCGAAAGCCAGGGGAGCAAACGGG